RNAcentral lists this ribosomal RNA (253 nucleotides) under uncultured bacterium. RNAcentral's name for it is "partial 16S ribosomal RNA". It matches the Rfam family "Bacterial small subunit ribosomal RNA", at positions 524 to 776 of the family's 1533-position model. The record is from RNAcentral.
UACAUAGGUGGCGAGCGUUGUCCGGAUUUACUGGGCGUAAAGGGCGUGCAGGCGGUUUGUUAAGUGCAGGGUGAAAGCUCCCGGCUCAACUGGGAGAGGUCCUUGCAUACUGGCGAACUCGAGGGAGGCAGAGGAAAGUGGAAUUCCCGGUGUAGUGGUGAUAUGCGUAGAUAUCGGGAGGAACACCUGUGGCGAAGGCGGCUUUCUGGGCCUUACCUGACGCUGAGCCGCGAAAGCGUGGGGAGCGAUCCGG